AUGAAGUUGAAGGAAAGGGUAUGGUUCAAUCCCAAACUACCAGACCUAGAAGAACAGUUUUGUAAGGGAUUGUGCUUCACAAGUGUUUAUGAGUACAGAGAUGCACUUAGGGAUUUUCACAUUAGGACAUUGACGAACUUUCAAUACCGUAGAAAUGCCCCAGAUAGGAUUAUUGUUUCGUGCUCAGAAAGUGCACAGGGAUGUGACUUUUAUAUCACUGCUUCUAAGAUUGCUCAUGAGAAAACGUUCUUCAUCAAGAAGUGUGAUAUUGUGCACACUUGUGGAGCAUGUGCAGAGUCCACGAAGGUUACUACAAAAUGGUUGUCCAGAUCAGUACAAGAAGAAUUGAGAGAAGACAUUAGAUCUCACGUGGAUGCAUUAAUUAAAAAGACAAAGACCAAGUUUUCAGUGGAUGUGUCAAGGAGUGUGGCAUAUAGGGCAAGGAGGAAGGUUGUUGAUGUGGUGAAAGGUGACCACAAGCAGCAGUACUUGAGGUUGAGAGAUUAUCUUCAAGCUAUUGUUGAUACAAACCCCGGGAUCAGGUUUAUAGUGACAACAUUUAAAGAUCUAGAAAACCCAGCACCUACUCCUAGAUUCAAGUAUCUUUUCCACUGUUUAGCAGUUUCAAAGGAAGGUUUCCUUAAUGGUUGUCGACCAUUUAUAGCCACAGGAAGGGAUGGCAACAACAACAUCUACCACAUAGCUUUUGGUGUGGUUGACAAGGAAGAUGGAGACAGUUGGACUUGGUGUUUAACUCAGUUGAGAUGUUGCAUUGGUAGUGGCAAAAAAUUUGGAACAUACACCAUCAUAUAUGACAGGCAAAAUGUUAGUGUCUUAUGCACAAAUAUGUUUGAUCAGUGUGGUUUUAGUGCCUGUUGGAAUUAUUUAAGUUUGAUCAUGUGCAUUACUAAUUUGUUAAUGUACAGGGCUUGCUUAAGGCAAUAA
This 945-nucleotide ribosomal RNA is filed under the name Triticum aestivum (bread wheat). Its description in RNAcentral is "partial small subunit ribosomal RNA". Lineage: Eukaryota; Viridiplantae; Streptophyta; Magnoliopsida; Poales; Poaceae. The record is from RNAcentral.